RNAcentral lists this ribosomal RNA (447 nucleotides) under uncultured Erwinia sp. RNAcentral describes it as "partial 16S ribosomal RNA". The record is from RNAcentral. Lineage: Bacteria; Pseudomonadati; Pseudomonadota; Gammaproteobacteria; Enterobacterales; Erwiniaceae.
AAGGUACCCGAAGAGUUUGAUCCUGGCUCAGAAAGUCGUAACAAGGUAUCCGUAGAGUUUGAUCAUGGCAAGAAGUCGUAACAAGGUAACCGUAGAGUUUGAUCCUGGCUCAGUAAGUCGUAACAAGGUAACCGUAGAGUUUGAUCAUGGCGAAGUCGUAACAAGGUAUCCGUAGAGUUUGAUCCUGGCUCAGUAAGUCGUAACAAGGUAUCCGUAGAGCUUGAUCAUGGCUCAGUAAGUCGUAACAAGGUACCCGUAGAGUUUGAUCAUGGCUCAGUAAGUCGUAACAAGGUAACUGUAGAGUUUGAUCAUGGCUCAGUAAGUCGUAACAAGGUAUCCGUAGAGUUUGAUCAUGGCUCAGUAAGUCGUAACAAGGUAACCGUAGAGUUUGAUCAUGGCUCAGUAAGUCGUAACAAGGUAACCGCAGAGUUUGAUCAUGGCUCAGUA